Non-coding RNA from Oncorhynchus mykiss (rainbow trout), 1278 nucleotides. NCBI's taxonomy places the organism in Eukaryota, Metazoa, Chordata, Actinopteri, Salmoniformes, Salmonidae. The record is from RefSeq and is a predicted model, not a curated record.
UGGCGCCCUCGAGAGCCAGAGAGCGGGAGCGCUAAGCAGGUGUGACAGUUCCGGUGUGUUGGUUUUUGGUCACUGGUUAUUUGGACAAAACACAUUUUAGCAGAGAGGGGCCCUGAAGCCCCCCAGCCAUUGCCAUACAGUCUGCUUUUGUUGAGGCUGGAACACCAACCCACCUCAGCGCUCUGGGGCCCCACUUGGGGCCCUCAGCGCACACCAAGACCAGGAAGAUGGAUGUGUGAUUGGAACGUUUGGCUGAGACGCAUGGCAUACUGCAACACGCCUUUGCCGAAGGAAAACGUGUUGGCUUCUCUAAGGAUUAAGGUUCUUCCGUGCUAUCGCUUCCUGUCCAUGCCUGCGACAGCACGUGUGUGUUUGUGCACGCUGAUGCGACGUGUGUGUCUCGAAAAGCUGGACUCCGUACACGUGGUCACCACCCUCACAGAUAACUUUGACCUCAUUUGACCCAAUGGUUUCAAUUAGUACCAUCUGAGGCUAAUUUCCAUCCAAAUCUUCAUGCGAAUAUUCUAAAAUCCCCAUGAAGACAAUAUACACCUUUUCCCACCAGAGAUGUUUCCAUCAAAUUGUCUUGUUGCAGAGAACUGAGCGUGAUGAUGUAGUGCACUUACAAAAUAACUUGUGCAGUUAAAUGGGUUUCCAUUGCAUUUUCAACUCUAAUUAUGGUUUUGUAAGAAGAACUCUUGCUUUACAUAGCGAAUCUCUGGUCUUGGCACGUGCUCUCUAGCCAACAGCUCGCAGAUAAAUUGCGGGUAUAGGCUACUUAUUUAAAACUUAUUUCAUCUAGCCUAAUACACUGUAUGCUUUCCCUAGUCGUAGUGGGAUGACCAUAUAAUAUCAUUGAGUGUUUUCAAGUUUACUUCAAUGUGUUGGUUAUUAUAUCAAUAUUUCAAUGUUUCCACCACCAUUUCUUGCGUCAUAUAUUUUACAGAUAUAAUAUCCCACCUUGUCGAGCGUGUUUUGUUUUGGAAGGUUUACCAACAAAUGUGUUGUUUCCAUCAGGCCUGUCUUGAAAUGUUUUAUCCGGCAUGUACUUUACUUACAUAAAAAGGUUGGAUGGAAACUUGGUUAUAAAAGCACUUCAAUUAAUUAACUGUCCAUUAAAACCUCUUCAAGAGCACCAGCUGCAAGAAGGGGGAAAGCUCCUACAGUAUAACUCUCAGGGAACAUGUCACAUGCAAUCAUACUAAAGCACAUUUGUAAUUUAGAAAUGAACCCGGUACUUUUGUAAUACCUCAGGAGACAGUCUUUUUUAGUUUUAAA